Molecule: long non-coding RNA, 1718 nt
Organism: Ornithodoros turicata
Lineage: Eukaryota; Metazoa; Arthropoda; Arachnida; Ixodida; Argasidae
Exons: 3
Source: RefSeq, a predicted model, not a curated record
UUGAGCUCUGCGGCGUGCGUCUCUCUCUGCUUGUCGUGCAGAGACUUGUUAACGGUCUAUUGGACCGCUGAAUAAUAUUUUCUUCCAACAAUAACGUUUUUCAGCAUGCUGAGGUGUAAUGAAUGCGACGACUGCAAGUCAUAUAGCUGCAUGUCCUACCAUACUAUGUACUCAAGAAGAGUCUGGCUUUAAUGGCACGCACUGCAGAUGACGAAGGUGAUAAUUUCCUCUGAAAGGCCAGCAUAGCUUGGAAUGACAUUCAAGUAAAAAACUGUGAAGGUGGUGUGAAGGAGGUCCCCUGCGCUGGUAAGUUUUAGUGUGGUAGGUACUACUGCUGUUCAGUAUUAAUAUUUCAUUCAUAUGUAUCCCGUCGAUGAUAAGUGGUGUCAGUGUUGAGUUCUAAUGCUGUUGUUAGUAAGUUGAGUAAGUUGUAAGUUGUUAGUAAGUGAUCAGUGGUGUGCACAGCACAGUGGAAAAGACCAUGAAAAAGCGCUGCUCCACUUCCACAAAGGAAGAAAGUACUAUGCAAAUUGCAAGGAAGAGAAGGGUAACAGUUGAACAAAAGGGUAGGUACAAUGCAGUCCCCAUUAUUUUCUUCUGUUACAUCACAUCACAGCGCUGGACAAAAGUUUGCGGAACACGCUUCGGAGCAUAUCUUCCUCAGCGUGACACGCCAUCAGCGAACAGAUGACUGGGUUACCUAGGCACAUGUCUGUAAGUUCAUGCAACCCCAUUAGCUGCUAGCGUGUCUCUCUGAGGAAGGCGCCGGAGCGUGUUCCAUAAACUUUUGUGUAGCACUGUACUAGCAUCAAUCAAUUUUUCCACACGUAUGAUUCAAACCAUUCAUUUUCCUAGCACUGUUUGUUUGGCAUACGAAAUGGUUAAUUAGAAAAAUAUUUGACAUAUGAUAGCAUCACAUAUCGCCACUGCGUGGACUCUCAUUGCCUAUAUUUAUGUUGCAGAUUAUUACACAGCAGAAGUAAUUUAUGUCUUUGCUCAUCUGGUGAGGGAGAUCAAUCUGACCUGUUCACUUGUGAAAGCUGCAACAGAUGAACAAGCUGGAGAUUCACUCGCACACCAAUAUGCACAUCCCAAACACUGUGAUUUCUGCCAGUCUGGGAUGGCACACACAUUCUUACAGCAUAUGGUUUUUACAGUGCAUCCUACUAUCUGUCCCAUCCUUAUAUUUAAGGAAGUAAAAUGUUUGCAAAUAAGCAAGUUUUGAAUUUUGGUGUGUAUGUGCUCUGUUUGAUAUGAUUCUUCUCUAAUUUUCAGUAACGAAAAAAUUACUCUGCCUCUUAGAUUAAUAGGCCUACAUUGCAUACUUGACUGAUACUACUUGAGAAGGCCAUAUAGAAAGGAAUGUAACAUAACUUCGUAAUAUAUCGCUAUGAUUUCUCUCCCCUUAGCGGUGUCGCUUAAGGCAAACAUGAUCUAUACCUCACAAAAAUGCUCACAGAAGACCCAUUCAAGUUCCAGUCCUGCUGUAUCACAGUGAAGGGACAGCCUGUCCAGUAAAUGACCGCAUUCAAACGUCACAAAGACUUUAACCUGAAGUAUUUUGCAUUGGUUAGGGAACGCUUUAGGUGCCGUUAAACACUUUAGAUCCUAACUUGUUGUUUCUAGUCAUAUGAUUAUGUUCCAUGUACAUAGCGUGUAAUGUGCAUUGUAAUGUUCAACUUCUGUUCUGUAUCAGAGGCACAAUAAAUGUAUGUUUU